RNAcentral lists this transfer RNA (69 nucleotides) under Staphylinidae sp. BMNH 1274206. RNAcentral's name for it is "tRNA-Trp". Lineage: Eukaryota; Metazoa; Arthropoda; Insecta; Coleoptera; Staphylinidae. The record is from RNAcentral.
AAGGAUUUAAGUUAAACGAAAACUUGCAGCCUUCAAAGCUUCGAAUAAAGAGCUUGUCUUUAAGCCUUA